RNAcentral lists this long non-coding RNA (1007 nucleotides) under Bos indicus x Bos taurus (hybrid cattle). RNAcentral describes it as "lncRNA (ENSBIXG00005013333.1)". Lineage: Eukaryota; Metazoa; Chordata; Mammalia; Artiodactyla; Bovidae. The record is from RNAcentral.
UCUAUUUCCGUUGGGAGCAGUUGCGAAGUGAGGUUGGCCUGCGCGGGUGGAAGCAGACAUGACGUCAGCUUGUGGCCUUUGCUGCUAAGUCACUUCAGUCAUGUCCGACUCUGUGUGACCCCAUAGACGGCAGCCCACCAGGCUCCCCCGUCCCUGGGAUUCUCCAGGCAAGAAUACUGGAGUGGGUUGCCAUUUCCUUCUCCAACGCAUGAAAGUGGAAAGUGAAAGUGAAGUCGCUCAGUCGUGUCCGACCCUUAGCGACCCCAUGGACUGCAGCCUACCAGGCUCCUCCGUUCAUGGGAUUUUCCAGGCAAGAGUACUGGAGUAGGGUGUCAUUGCCUUCUCCUUGUGGCGUUUGGUAAAGGCCAAACUUUACCAAAAGUUUGUCACUUCUGUAAAGGCAGAGCCACCUGUGUGAGGAGGACAUCAGCAAGCAGAGCUGAGAGUUCAGGAGAGAUGGUUCCGGCUGACGUCCUAAAACUCCCGAGUGCAGCCCUGGCGGACGCUUGUGGACUUAGGGUGAGAGGCUUUGUGUCCACUUCUUCCCCACGUGCAUCCUGCUCACUUCCAUUGCUGGGGCCCCGGGACCUGUACUGUGCACAUCUGCUCUGCUCUGCUCACAGCGCACCCCAUGGGCCAUAAGAUUUCACUCUUAAAAGGUAAGUGUAAGGGUAAAAUACUCCAUAGUUAAGAAUUUCAAGGUGGCAACAGCGUUGACAGAAGCACGAGAGCUCAGGUACAAGGCUCAUGUGUUAGACAAGCUGCUGUGUGGGCUUCAAGACACUCCAUGUAGAGGGUGGGGUGGGGGUGGUCAGGGAGGUUCUGAGACACUCAGCUCACCCGGUUCCUGCACAGCCAACUCCAGGCUCUAUUCUUGGCAGGGUGGGUGACAGUCGGCACUGCCUGCCUGUGUGGAGGGGCUCAGAGGCUGCCCAGCUCAGCAGGAAUGGCAGUGAGGGGAAGGAAGGGCACCCUCCCUUAGCAUUCCUGACUUCACACCUCCUUGU